AUGCCAUUGGUUCUUCAAACUUUACAUUUAAUGAGAAAGGAUACGUGUAUGUUUUGCGUUACCUCCAAGCUAUAAAAUCCUAACUAUAAAUAAGGUCCUCUUGAUUCAAAAAUAUUUGCCUAUACCCCUCUCAUGUCUCUCACGAAACCCCCCCUCUCUAAAAGUUCUAUACUUUAUUUAUAAUAAUAAUAAUAAUAAGGUCCUGCCCCGUUUUAAGUAUUGUAGCCCCUGAUCGCUGAUGCCAUGUCCGAUUGACGUAGGGCCCCGUAACGUAUGUCAAGGCUCUACCUAAAUUCGUUGGGGUUCUGUCUCGUGACGUAGGGAUAAAGUAGAAUUGGGUUACUAUACUUAAUAUGAGUGCACUAUAUAUUUUAUUAAAUAACCCAGGAGUUAUACCCAAAAUAUAACAACCCUCCUAAAACACCCCUGACACCCUACACUUCCUAAAACACACCCCAUACAUGAAAACGGGCCCCCAAAUACAUUAAAUAUUAUUAAAUUUAAUUAAAAAUAUUGUUUUUGGUUUUUAGGCGGGCCGCGUAAAGGAACCUUAACCCUUACGCGGGCCGCGACAACUUAAAAACCUGGCAAAGCCCGGUGCGGCCACGUGGCCCAACACCCGACAAACCUACUCGAUGAACCAGCCCAGCUACGCGUUGACUAGAGUUGACGCAGGCCACGUAAGACCUUGCCUUGUUUUACGCGGGCCGCGAGAAAACCCAGGUGAAGCACUAUAAGCAGGCCAUCGGAUCUUCAUUCGAAUUCGUUCAAAAUCGUUCUCUUUCUCUCAAUUCUAAAGUGUAGGCAUUAUACGCGAGUAUAAUACCCCCUAAUUAGCGAAGCUCUGCCUCGUUGUAACUUAGUGUGAAGCCAAUAAAAACCAGCUGGAGAGCACUAAAGGCUUGGAAAAGUGGCAAUAAAGUUACCUAAAAUAAAAUAGAUGUUUUUAUUAAAUAAAAUAGGAUUUAUUCCUAUGAAAAUGUGUGUACUGCAAACUUGGGUUUUACCCAUGUGUUUAAUGUUAUGGAAAUGUGGUAUUUUACU
This 1044-nucleotide long non-coding RNA is filed under the name Helianthus annuus (common sunflower). RNAcentral describes it as "hypothetical non coding rna". The record is from RNAcentral. Lineage: Eukaryota; Viridiplantae; Streptophyta; Magnoliopsida; Asterales; Asteraceae.